UUCCUUCUUUGAAUCAUCUUGUUAUUUGGGAGACUUCCCCAUCACUUAAAAAGCCUUCUCUUCAGUCUUUUCAUUCACCUGAUUCAAUCUUGGCCCAUGGGAUUACAAAGAACCCAUCAGCUCGUCAAAUGAGUAAGUAGCUAUGUCCUUAGACUUCUCAAUAGCUGCAACAAUGUGAUCAAAACUUAGAGUCAAACACCUUAACACUUUUGCAAUAGUGGUUUGAUCAGAAAUCUCUUCCCUGUAAGAUCUCAUUUAAUUAACAACCGUUGCAACUCAUAAAAGAAAUUCUUGUACCGAUUCUCUAAUUUUCAUUUACAACAUCUCAAAGUCACGACGGAGAAAUUGAAGUUUUACCAUAAUUAUCUUGGAUGAGCCUUUGUAUGUUGUUUGCAAAGUCGUCCAUGCUU
RNAcentral lists this long non-coding RNA (410 nucleotides) under Carica papaya (papaya). RNAcentral's name for it is "long non-coding RNA (CPAP_LNC004528)". Lineage: Eukaryota; Viridiplantae; Streptophyta; Magnoliopsida; Brassicales; Caricaceae. The record is from RNAcentral.